RNAcentral lists this ribosomal RNA (429 nucleotides) under Pseudomonadota bacterium. RNAcentral describes it as "Proteobacteria bacterium partial 16S ribosomal RNA". It matches the Rfam family "Bacterial small subunit ribosomal RNA", at positions 355 to 776 of the family's 1533-position model. Lineage: Bacteria; Pseudomonadati; Pseudomonadota. The record is from RNAcentral.
UGGGGAAUAUUGGACAAUGGGCGAAAGCCUGAUCCAGCCAUGCCGCGUGUGUGAAGAAGGUCUUCGGAUUGUAAAGCACUUUAAGUUGGGAGGAAGGGCAGUAAGCGAAUACCUUGCUGUUUUGACGUUACCGACAGAAUAAGCACCGGCUAACUCUGUGCCAGCAGCCGCGGUAAUACAGAGGGUGCAAGCGUUAAUCGGAAUUACUGGGCGUAAAGCGCGCGUAGGUGGUUCGUUAAGUUGAAUGUGAAAGCCCCGGGCUCAACCUGGGAACUGCAUACAAAACUGGCGAGCUAGAGUAGGGCAGAGGGUGGUGGAAUUUCCUGUGUAGCGGUGAAAAGCGUAGAUAUAGGAAGGAACACCAGUGGCGAAGGCGACCACCUGGGCUCAUACUGACACUGAGGUGCGAAAGCGUGGGGAGCAAACAGG